GGGCGCAUAGCUCAGUUGGCUAGAGCGCUUCUCUGAUAAGGAAGAGGUCCAUGGUUCGAAUCCAUGUGCGCCCACUA
RNAcentral lists this transfer RNA (77 nucleotides) under Candidatus Falkowiibacteriota bacterium. RNAcentral's name for it is "tRNA-Ile". It matches the Rfam family "tRNA". From Rfam's summary of the family: Transfer RNA (tRNA) molecules are approximately 80 nucleotides in length. Their secondary structure includes four short double-helical elements and three loops (D, anti-codon, and T loops). Lineage: Bacteria; Candidatus Falkowiibacteriota. The record is from RNAcentral.